GACGAACGCUGGCGGCGUGCUUAACACAUGCAAGUCGAACGGAAAGGCCCUGCUUUUGUGGGGUGCUCGAGUGGCGAACGGGUGAGUAACACGUGAGUAACCUGCCCUUGACUUUGGGAUAACUUCAGGAAACUGGGGCUAAUACCGGAUAGGAGCUCCUGCUGCAUGGUGGGGGUUGGAAAGUUUCGGAGGUUGGGGAUGGACUCGCGGCUUAUCAGCUUGUUGGUGGGGUAGUGGCUUACCAAGGCUUUGACGGGUAGCCGGCCUGAGAGGGUGACCGGCCACAUUGGGACUGAGAUACGGACCAGAAUCCUACGGGAGGCAGCAGUGGGGAAUAUUGCACAAUGGGCGGAAGCCUGAUGCAGCAACGCCGCGUGCGGGAUGACGGCCUUCGGGUGGUAAACCGCUUUCGCCUGUGACGAAGCGUGAGUGACGGUAAUGGGUAAAGAAGCACCGGCUAACUACGUG
This 468-nucleotide ribosomal RNA is filed under the name uncultured bacterium. RNAcentral describes it as "partial 16S ribosomal RNA". It matches the Rfam family "Bacterial small subunit ribosomal RNA", at positions 28 to 507 of the family's 1533-position model. The record is from RNAcentral.